GGCACUAAUGAGCAGUAGUAGCAAUGUAAUUCAACCAGGAUAUCGUCCCCCUGAAGAUAAUGCCAUGGGACAACCCCAAUACCCCCCAGCUGUGAGGGGCAGGGAACAAACAAACAUUCCCAUGAUUCAACAAAGAGUCAAAAGUUUCCAGCCAAAACAGUUCACAACAACUGAAAACAACUGGACCCUACCCUCUGCGCAGACAAACACAGGAGCAAUGCUUACGCUCCCUGAAGACAUCAGUCUGUACGAAACAGUACUGACAAGGUGGGAAUCGGUCAACACAAAUUUGAUGAAUUAGAUGAUCUGGGCUGAUAACACAGCUAAGGUUAUCUAUGUGGAAAAUCUGUUAGGAGAAACAGAGAAGAGAACUUUCCAACAAUGGCGGAUGGCCUUCCCAGCGGAGUACGAAC
This 413-nucleotide long non-coding RNA is filed under the name Lupinus mutabilis. RNAcentral's name for it is "partial ncRNA". Lineage: Eukaryota; Viridiplantae; Streptophyta; Magnoliopsida; Fabales; Fabaceae. The record is from RNAcentral.